This 522-nucleotide long non-coding RNA is filed under the name Sarcophilus harrisii (Tasmanian devil). RNAcentral's name for it is "lncRNA (ENSSHAG00000030523.1)". The record is from RNAcentral. Lineage: Eukaryota; Metazoa; Chordata; Mammalia; Dasyuromorphia; Dasyuridae.
AGUUUGGGGCUGAUGAGAAAUGUUUGGAAGUCUUCAAAGGAAGAGAGAUGGACUCUCUGCCCGGGAAGGCGCCUCUGCUCCCUCUGGCCUGACUCACAAAGGGAUCUCCUAGUCUGGAGGAGAUGGAGGAGGAGCAGAUUCAGACCCUGCCUUAAAAAAGAAGCAAUGGAUCCAGGCCUGCCCUCAGGAAGUUUCUCUUCAGACCGUGGAGAACAAAGUUACAAUUCAAUUCAACAAAACAUUCACAAAGAAGAGGACAGAAUAAAACAGAAAUACAAAAAAUCCUUCUCUUCUUUAUUUUCAACCAGAGUAUCCUCUUGGCCCCAGAUCUGUUAUUAAAAUGGUUUUCUCAUUAAGAAAGCUUUCUUCUCUGCAGAGAGGGGCUCUCAUACCUGGCAACUGCUAAUCCCCAGAGACAGACUUUUCCUUUCAGCCUCAACCUUCACAGUUGGUUCUAAAGACUUGUCCAGUUCUGCCUGUCACAGAACUGUUAGUAAAAACACUUAACCCAGUUAACUCCUC